This 108-nucleotide transfer RNA is filed under the name Ephemerocybe angulata. RNAcentral's name for it is "Coprinellus angulatus tRNA". It matches the Rfam family "tRNA". Rfam says of the family: Transfer RNA (tRNA) molecules are approximately 80 nucleotides in length. Their secondary structure includes four short double-helical elements and three loops (D, anti-codon, and T loops). Lineage: Eukaryota; Fungi; Basidiomycota; Agaricomycetes; Agaricales; Psathyrellaceae. The record is from Rfam by way of RNAcentral.
GGCAAGAUGGCCGAGCGGUUAUGGCGUGUGACUCAAGCGCAAGCUUGCCUCUUAGAGGUGAUUUCUCAUGGGAGUAAUCCCGCGUGGGUUCAAAUCCCACUCUUGUCA